AUAAUAAUGGCAGUACAUAUUCUAAAACUGGAACGAUACAGGGAAGAUUAGCAUGGCCCCUGCGCAAGGACGAUACGCAAAUUCGGGAAGCGUUCUAUAUUUUU
Octopus bimaculoides (California two-spot octopus) is the source of this 104-nucleotide non-coding RNA. The record is from Rfam. Lineage: Eukaryota; Metazoa; Mollusca; Cephalopoda; Octopoda; Octopodidae.